AUCCUGUCUCGAAAAACAAAAAGCAAAAGAAAAUUUUGUACACGUGUGCAUGUAGAUGGAUGUAGUGUGCAUGUAGAUGGAUGUAGUGCUCAGAGAGACUAGAAGAGUUGGGUUACAGGUGGUUGCAAGAUUCAAGUACCCAGAUGUGGGUAUUGGGAACUGAAUUCAGGUCUUCAGGAAGAGCUGUACAUGUACUUAACCACUGAGCCAUCUCUCUAGCCUCUGUAAAAUGUUUUGUAAGCUUUUUUUCUUAGAUUUAUUCAUUUAAUGUAUAUGAGUUCACUGUUGCUGUCUUCAGACACACCAGAAGAGGGCAUCAGAUCCUAUUAUAGAUAGUUGUGAGCCACCAUAUGGUUGCUGGGAAUUGAACUCAGAACCUCUGGAAGAGUAGUCGGUGCUCAAAUUAUAUAAAUAUGAGUGCUUGAGAGAUGGUUCAGCAGUUAAGAGUACUGACUGCUCUUCAGAGGACCCAGGUUCAAUUCUCAGCACCCACUGGCAACUUAAUGUCUGUAAUUCUAGUUCUAGGGAACAUGACAUCACACAGACAUACAUGCAGGCAAAACACCAAAGCACAUACAAUAAAAAUAAACAAAUUAUUUUAAAAAAGAAAUAUAUAAAUAAUGAGAAAAAGAUUGCCUUCCCAUUGAAAUAAGUAAUUUUUAGUACUAAGAAUUAAAAUCUUUAAGUGUAUUCAUAUAUAUUAUUAAAUUCUACCUAGAGGUAAAUAUGUCUAUUUCCAUAUUUUAUUUUUACUCCAAAUAUAACACUCCCAUUAACAUUGUUUCCUUUUAGAGUUAUUGAGUUAUCAAAACCAGCAAUGUGAGCAUCAUUGACAGGUCUCCUUUUUUAAAGUAAUAAUUUGUAUGUAUUCUUUGAGAAUGUAUGCAAUGUACUUUGAUUAUAAUCACCUUCCAUUUCUGCUCUCUAACUUCCUCUCUUUCUAAUUUUUUUUUUAAUAGAGACAGGGUCUAGCUAUGUAAACCAAGCUGGUGUUGAAUUUGUAGUCCUCUUGCCUUAGCCUCUUUUUGUUGUUGUUGUUUGAGACAGGGUUUCUCUGUGUAGCUCUGGCUGUCCUGGAACUCAUUCUGUAGACCAGGCUGGCCUCGAACUUAGAAAUCUACCUGCCUGCCUUCCAAGUGCUGGGAUUAAAGGCAUUGGCCACCAC
This 1165-nucleotide long non-coding RNA is filed under the name Mus musculus (house mouse). RNAcentral's name for it is "long non-coding RNA chr3:90301156-90302321". The record is from RNAcentral. Lineage: Eukaryota; Metazoa; Chordata; Mammalia; Rodentia; Muridae.